CAAUAGCGCAUAUUUAAGUUGUUGCAGUUAAAAAGCUCGUAGUUGGAUUUCGGGUGGGACGCAGCGGUCUCGCAUUGCGUUUGUACUGCUGCAGCCCUCCUUCUUGCCGGGGGCGGCCUCUCGGACUUCACUGUCUGGGGGUCAGAAUCGGCGAUGUUACUUUGAGUAAAUUAGAGUGUUCAAAGCAAGCUUACGCUCUGAAUAUAAUAGCAUGGGAUAACACGACAGGACUCUGGCCUAUCGUGUUGGUCUAUAGGACCAGAGUAAUGAUUAAGAGGGACAGUCGGGGGCAUUCGUAUUCCGUUGUCAGAGGUGAAAUUCUUGGAUUUACGGAAGACGAACAUCUGCGAAAGCAUUUGCCAAGGAUGUUUUCAUUGA
RNAcentral lists this ribosomal RNA (378 nucleotides) under uncultured eukaryote. RNAcentral describes it as "partial 18S ribosomal RNA". It matches the Rfam family "Eukaryotic small subunit ribosomal RNA", at positions 592 to 976 of the family's 1831-position model. The record is from RNAcentral.